UACGUAGGGGGCUAGCGUUGUCCGGAAUCAUUGGGCGUAAAGAGCGUGUAGGCGGCCCGGUAAGUCCGCUGUGAAAGUCGGGGGCUCAACCCUCGAAUGCCGGUGGAUACUGUCGGGCUAGAGUGCGGAAGAGGCGAGUGGAAUUCCUGGUGUAGCGGUGAAAUGCGCAGAUAUCAGGAAGAACACCCGUGGCGAAGGCGGCUCUCUGGGACGGUACUGACGCUGAUGUGCGAAAGCGUGGGGAGCAAACAGG
This 253-nucleotide ribosomal RNA is filed under the name uncultured bacterium. RNAcentral's name for it is "partial 16S ribosomal RNA". It matches the Rfam family "Bacterial small subunit ribosomal RNA", at positions 524 to 776 of the family's 1533-position model. The record is from RNAcentral.